This 59-nucleotide microRNA precursor is filed under the name Drosophila melanogaster (fruit fly). Its description in RNAcentral is "microRNA dme-mir-9373 precursor". The record is from miRBase by way of RNAcentral. Lineage: Eukaryota; Metazoa; Arthropoda; Insecta; Diptera; Drosophilidae.
AGUUUGUGAGGAGCGUUCGGCGGAUACACAUCGCACCCAUCGCUCUUGGCCAGCUCGUC